Molecule: unclassified non-coding RNA, 218 nt
Filed under: soil metagenome
Description: partial contains small subunit ribosomal RNA, internal transcribed spacer 1, and 5.8S ribosomal RNA
Source: RNAcentral
UCUCCGUUGGUGAACCAGCGGAGGGAUCAUUACCGAGUUAUUACUCCAAACCCUUUGUGAACCUUACCUAUGUUCUGUUGCCUCGGCGGGGAGGAAGACCCCUUAAAAAGGGCCCAGCCCCCGCCGGCAGCACCAAACUCUUGCAUUUAUAGCGGAUUACAUUUCUGAAUACAAUACAAAACAAAUCAAAACUUUCAACAACGGAUCUCUUGGUUCUG